Molecule: ribosomal RNA, 1562 nt
Filed under: Vibrio alginolyticus
Lineage: Bacteria; Pseudomonadati; Pseudomonadota; Gammaproteobacteria; Vibrionales; Vibrionaceae
Description: bacterial SSU rRNA
Rfam family: Bacterial small subunit ribosomal RNA
Source: RNAcentral
AAAUUGAAGAGUUUGAUCAUGGCUCAGAUUGAACGCUGGCGGCAGGCCUAACACAUGCAAGUCGAGCGGAAACGAGUUAUCUGAACCUUCGGGGAACGAUAACGGCGUCGAGCGGCGGACGGGUGAGUAAUGCCUAGGAAAUUGCCCUGAUGUGGGGGAUAACCAUUGGAAACGAUGGCUAAUACCGCAUGAUGCCUACGGGCCAAAGAGGGGGACCUUCGGGCCUCUCGCGUCAGGAUAUGCCUAGGUGGGAUUAGCUAGUUGGUGAGGUAAGGGCUCACCAAGGCGACGAUCCCUAGCUGGUCUGAGAGGAUGAUCAGCCACACUGGAACUGAGACACGGUCCAGACUCCUACGGGAGGCAGCAGUGGGGAAUAUUGCACAAUGGGCGCAAGCCUGAUGCAGCCAUGCCGCGUGUGUGAAGAAGGCCUUCGGGUUGUAAAGCACUUUCAGUCGUGAGGAAGGUGGUGUAGUUAAUAGCUGCAUUAUUUGACGUUAGCGACAGAAGAAGCACCGGCUAACUCCGUGCCAGCAGCCGCGGUAAUACGGAGGGUGCGAGCGUUAAUCGGAAUUACUGGGCGUAAAGCGCAUGCAGGUGGUUUGUUAAGUCAGAUGUGAAAGCCCGGGGCUCAACCUCGGAAUAGCAUUUGAAACUGGCAGACUAGAGUACUGUAGAGGGGGGUAGAAUUUCAGGUGUAGCGGUGAAAUGCGUAGAGAUCUGAAGGAAUACCGGUGGCGAAGGCGGCCCCCUGGACAGAUACUGACACUCAGAUGCGAAAGCGUGGGGAGCAAACAGGAUUAGAUACCCUGGUAGUCCACGCCGUAAACGAUGUCUACUUGGAGGUUGUGGCCUUGAGCCGUGGCUUUCGGAGCUAACGCGUUAAGUAGACCGCCUGGGGAGUACGGUCGCAAGAUUAAAACUCAAAUGAAUUGACGGGGGCCCGCACAAGCGGUGGAGCAUGUGGUUUAAUUCGAUGCAACGCGAAGAACCUUACCUACUCUUGACAUCCAGAGAACUUUCCAGAGAUGGAUUGGUGCCUUCGGGAACUCUGAGACAGGUGCUGCAUGGCUGUCGUCAGCUCGUGUUGUGAAAUGUUGGGUUAAGUCCCGCAACGAGCGCAACCCUUAUCCUUGUUUGCCAGCGAGUAAUGUCGGGAACUCCAGGGAGACUGCCGGUGAUAAACCGGAGGAAGGUGGGGACGACGUCAAGUCAUCAUGGCCCUUACGAGUAGGGCUACACACGUGCUACAAUGGCGCAUACAGAGGGCGGCCAACUUGCGAAAGUGAGCGAAUCCCAAAAAGUGCGUCGUAGUCCGGAUUGGAGUCUGCAACUCGACUCCAUGAAGUCGGAAUCGCUAGUAAUCGUGGAUCAGAAUGCCACGGUGAAUACGUUCCCGGGCCUUGUACACACCGCCCGUCACACCAUGGGAGUGGGCUGCAAAAGAAGUAGGUAGUUUAACCUUCGGGGGGACGCUUACCACUUUGUGGUUCAUGACUGGGGUGAAGUCGUAACAAGGUAGCGCUAGGGGAACCUGGCGCUGGAUCACCUCCUUAAACGAUGAU